This 87-nucleotide non-coding RNA is filed under the name Vallitalea guaymasensis. RNAcentral's name for it is "Glycine riboswitch". It matches the Rfam family "Glycine riboswitch aptamer". From Rfam's summary of the family: This family represents the bacterial glycine riboswitch. Glycine riboswitches usually consist of two metabolite-binding aptamers domains with similar structures in tandem. The record is from RNAcentral. Lineage: Bacteria; Bacillati; Bacillota; Clostridia; Lachnospirales; Vallitaleaceae.
ACGAACCUCUGGAGAGACUCUUAAUGAGCACCGAAGGGGAAAACUAAUCAAUGAUUAGUGAAACUCUCAGGUAAAAGGACAGAGGAU